Maniola jurtina (meadow brown) is the source of this 1252-nucleotide long non-coding RNA. RefSeq lists it as uncharacterized. Lineage: Eukaryota; Metazoa; Arthropoda; Insecta; Lepidoptera; Nymphalidae. The record is from RefSeq and is a predicted model, not a curated record. The transcript has 3 exons.
AGCCAAUGUUAACCAGAUUAAAAUAAAAUAUUAUAACGUAAAUGCAGUAUAAAACAGCAUUAUAAUAUAUUUAUUGAUGGGUUAGCAAACAACGCUAACUUAAAAUAACUUUAUUUAGAUAAUUCGAUUAGUUUUCGAUUCUGAACGAACUAUCGAUGUAUACAGUCCCUCACAUUCAUUCAUUUUUAUUUUUAGUCUGUGGUCGCAAUAUCAUUUCUGCACAACACUUAAGAAAUUAAAGAAUGCGAAACGUCAAAAUUAGCAUUUUAGUUUUCUCUGUGGAUCUAAAUUUUUGUUUUCAUCUAGUUUUUAUUAAAAAAAAUUGAUAAAAUCAUGGAUAAAUUGAAUGAAUGUUAUGUUUAUAAUUUACUUAAGAUGUUGUUCGUGGACCGCAAGGCGUUUGUGCGUAUUUUUAACUGUUUUAUCAUCUGAAGAAGUGUUAACGAAGUUACGUGUUGGCGAAAAGGUGUGUUUGUUUAUGUUUUGGAUCAAUUCAUGAAUUCAAUCGGAACGGACUUUUUUAUUUCGACUGCUAUUAAUAAUGGAACAUCGAUAACGCUAUUUACGAAGAUCCUGGUAUUCCUACUGGUAGUAGGUAAUCGAAGUUUUACUAUUGACCAUGAAUUGAAUACGAAACCCAUGAAUCCCUCUGAAUUGAGAUGUGUUAAUUGUGGCAUCAAUGUAAAUCAAAGGAGUAGGCAUAGUAGCCUUGAAUUAAUAGAGAUUAUGUUAGUAAUAUAACACUGGAUUGCACCUCAAGUGGUGACUGAGACCACCAGUGUGCCUUUUUUGCUGGACUCCUAGUCACUCCAAUGGGACUAAUGAUGAUUAACCUACUAAUGAUGGUCACCGUUGUCGUCUUUGUAUUAGCUGUGGAUGCUCUUUGAUGAGAACAAGAUCUCACAGGCUACGUACUGACCUAAAACGGGAAAUAUGCAUAUAAAUCAUAAUAAUAGAGAUGAUUAUGCCAUAACAGCUGCAUGGAUCUGAUGAAAUCUGCCACCCCUGUUGACAAAGAAGUGAUCGAUUGAGAGCACAUGCUCUUGAAUCACUUCAACAGUUACUUACCAGUUAUUGUUUUACCGAACUGGAAAAGAAGAUUAGAUACCCAAGGCCAUUAUUUUUUUCUAGACUAACUCACUGGAAAGAUUAUUAUUAGAUAAGAUAAGCCUUUAUGAACUGAAUUAAAUUACAUUAAUGCUAUGUACAUAAUAUUAUAUUUCAAACAAAUAAAUAAUAUUUUAGUUUUUGA